RNAcentral lists this ribosomal RNA (512 nucleotides) under Saccharomyces cerevisiae (brewer's yeast). RNAcentral describes it as "partial large subunit ribosomal RNA". The record is from RNAcentral. Lineage: Eukaryota; Fungi; Ascomycota; Saccharomycetes; Saccharomycetales; Saccharomycetaceae.
AACGGCGAGUGAAGCGGCAAAAGCUCAAAUUUGAAAUCUGGUACCUUCGGUGCCCGAGUUGUAAUUUGGAGAGGGCAACUUUGGGGCCGUUCCUUGUCUAUGUUCCUUGGAACAGGACGUCAUARAGGGUGAGAAUCCCGUGUGGCGAGGAGUGCGGUUCUUUGUAAAGUGCCUUCGAAGAGUCGAGUUGUUUGGGAAUGCAGCUCUAAGUGGGUGGUAAAUUCCAUCUAAAGCUAAAUAUUGGCGAGAGACCGAUAGCGAACAAGUACAGUGAUGGAAAGAUGAAAAGAACUUUGAAAAGAGAGUGAAAAAGUACGUGAAAUUGUUGAAAGGGAAGGGCAUUUGAUCAGACAUGGUGUUUUGUGCCCUCUGCUCCUUGUGGGUAGGGGAAUCUCGCAUUUCACUGGGCCAGCAUCAGUUUUGGUGGCAGGAUAAAUCCAUAGGAAUGUAGCUUGCCUCGGUAAGUAUUAUAGCCUGUGGGAAUACUGCCAGCUGGGACUGAGGACUGCGAC